This 439-nucleotide ribosomal RNA is filed under the name uncultured bacterium. RNAcentral describes it as "partial 16S ribosomal RNA". It matches the Rfam family "Bacterial small subunit ribosomal RNA", at positions 338 to 795 of the family's 1533-position model. The record is from RNAcentral.
CCUACGGGUGGCAGCAGUGGGGAAUAUUGCACAAUGGGGGAAAGCCUGAUGCAGCGACGCCGCGUGAGUGAUGAAGGAUUUCGGUACGUAAAGCUCUGUCAGCAAGGAAGAUAAUGACGGUACUUGAGGAGGAAGCCCCGGCUAACUACGUGCCAGCAGCCGCGGUAAUACGUAGGGGGCUAGCGUUAUCCGGAUUUACUGGGCGUAAAGGGUGCGUAAGUGGUGGCCUAAGUCAGAGGUGAAAGGCUACGGCUAAACCCUGGUAAGCCUUUGAAACUGGGGAACUUGAGUGCAGGAGAGGUAAGUGGAAGUCCUAGUGUAGCGGUGAAAUGCGUAGAUAUUAGGAGGAACACCAGUGGCGAAGGCGGCUUUCUGGACUGUAACUGACGCUGAGGCACGAAAGCGUGGGGAGCAAACAGGAUUAGAUACCCUAGUAGUC